RNAcentral lists this ribosomal RNA (253 nucleotides) under uncultured bacterium. RNAcentral's name for it is "partial 16S ribosomal RNA". It matches the Rfam family "Bacterial small subunit ribosomal RNA", at positions 524 to 776 of the family's 1533-position model. The record is from RNAcentral.
UACGUAGGGACCAAGCGUUGUUCGGAUUUACUGGGCGUAAAGGGCGCGUAGGCGGCGCGGUAAGUCACUUGUGAAAUCUCUGAGCUUAACUCAGAACGGCCAAGUGAUACUGCAGUGCUAGAGUGUGGAAGGGGCAAUCGGAAUUCCUGGUGUAGCGGUGAAAUGCGCAGAUAUCAGGAGGAACACCGAUGGCGAAGGCAGGUCUCUGGGCCACUACUGACGCUGAGAAGCGAAAGCAUGGGGAGCGAACAGG